RNAcentral lists this ribosomal RNA (520 nucleotides) under uncultured Entrophospora. RNAcentral's name for it is "SSU rRNA". It matches the Rfam family "Eukaryotic small subunit ribosomal RNA", at positions 569 to 1083 of the family's 1831-position model. Lineage: Eukaryota; Fungi; Glomeromycota; Glomeromycetes; Entrophosporales; Entrophosporaceae. The record is from RNAcentral.
AGCAGCCGCGGUAAUUCCAGCUCCAAUAGCGUAUAUUAAAGUUGUUGCAGUUAAAAAGCUCGUAGUUGAAUUUCGGGAUUGACGUGACGGUCAUGCCUUAAGGGGUAUGAACUGUUACAGUUGAUUUCUCACCUUCUGGAGAAACUUGAUGUCCUUUAUUGGGUGUCUUGCGGAUCCAGGACCUUUACCUUGAAAAAAUUAGAGUGUUUAAAGCAGGCAUUUUUGCUCGAAUACAUUAGCAUGGAAUAAUAGAAUAGGACGGCAUGGUUCUAUUUUGUUGGUUUCUAGGAUCACCGUAAUGAUUAAUAGGGAUAGUUGAGGGCAUUAGUAUUCAAUUGUCAGAGGUGAAAUUCUUGGAUUUAUUGAAGACUAACUACUGCGAAAGCAUUUGCCAAGGAUGUUUUCAUUAAUCAAGAACGAAAGUUAGGGGAUCGAAGACGAUCAGAUACCGUCGUAGUCUUAACCAUAAACUAUAGCCGACUAGGAAUCAGACGAUGUAAUUUUUUAAUGACUCGUUUGG